Molecule: ribosomal RNA, 337 nt
Filed under: uncultured bacterium
Lineage: Bacteria
Description: partial 16S ribosomal RNA
Rfam family: Bacterial small subunit ribosomal RNA
Source: RNAcentral
CCUACGGGAGGCAGCAGUGGGGAAUUUUGGACAAUGGGCGCAAGCCUGAUCCAGCUAUUCCGCGUGUGGGAUGACGGCCCUCGGGUUGUAAACCACUUUAGUAGAGAACGAAAAGGAGCUAUCGAAUAAAUAGCUCUGCUGACGGUACUCUAAGAAUAAGCACCGGUUAACUACGUGCCAGCAGCCGCGGUAAUACGUAGGGUGCGAGCGUUAAUCGGAAUUACUGGGCGGAAAGGGUGUGCAGGCGGGUGAGUAAGUCAGAUGUGAAAUCCCCGGGCGUAACCUGGGAACCGCAUAUGUGACUGGUUGGCUAGAGGGCGUCAGAGGGAGGUGGAAU